RNAcentral lists this ribosomal RNA (301 nucleotides) under uncultured bacterium. RNAcentral describes it as "partial 16S ribosomal RNA". It matches the Rfam family "Bacterial small subunit ribosomal RNA", at positions 509 to 809 of the family's 1533-position model. The record is from RNAcentral.
CAGCCGCCGCGGGAAAACGGAGGGCGCAAGCGUUAAUCGGAAUUACUGGGCGUAAAGCGUGCGUAGGCGGUUCGUUAAGUCUGAUGUGAAAGCCCCCGGCUCAACCGGGGAGGGUCAUUGGAAACUGGGAAACUUGAGUACAGAAGAGGAGAGUGGAAUUCCACGUGUAGCGGUGAAAUGCGUAGAGAUGUGGAGGAACACCAGAGGCGAAGGCGACUCUCUGGUCUGUAACUGACGCUGAGGAGCGAAAGCGUGGGGAGCGAACAGGAUUAGAUACCCGGGUAGUCCCUGUCUCUUAUAA